GAGAGAGAGAGAGAGAGAGAGAGAGAGAGAGAGAGAGAGAGAGAGAGAAUGAGGAGCAGGGAGUUCUGAGUCCAACCCACAUGCGCCCCAUCAUCAUUACAGCUCAGUGAAUGGGUUGCCAUAGCCCAUAGCAUUUGAUACAUCUCUCUCUCUCUCUCUCUCUCUCUCUCUCUCUCUCUCUCUCUCUCUCUCCCUUCUAUC
RNAcentral lists this microRNA precursor (201 nucleotides) under Prunus dulcis (almond). RNAcentral describes it as "sRNA ncRNA". Lineage: Eukaryota; Viridiplantae; Streptophyta; Magnoliopsida; Rosales; Rosaceae. The record is from RNAcentral.